UCCGACUUAACGUCGGCAGUCUCUUUAGAGUGCCCAACUAAAUGCUGGCAACUAAAGACAAGGGUUGCGCUCGUUGCGGGACUUAACCCAACAUCUCACGACACGAGCUGACGACAGCCAUGCAGCACCUGUACUGCGACCCCGAAGGGCUACGACAUCUCUGCCGUAUUCCACAGUAUGUCAAGUCCAGGUAAGGUUCUUCGCGUAGCAUCGAAUUGAACCACAUGCUCCACCGCUUGUGCGGGCCCCCGUCAAUUUCUUUGAGUUUUAAUCUUGCGACCGUACUUCCCAGGCGGGAUACUUAACACGUUAGCUCCGGCACUGAAGGGGUCAAUACCUCCAACACCAAGUAUCCAUCGUUUACGGCGUGGACUAC
Molecule: unclassified non-coding RNA, 376 nt
Filed under: uncultured Pseudobdellovibrionaceae bacterium
Lineage: Bacteria; Pseudomonadati; Bdellovibrionota; Bdellovibrionia; Bdellovibrionales; Pseudobdellovibrionaceae
Description: uncultured Bdellovibrionaceae bacterium contains 16S-23S intergenic spacer region
Source: RNAcentral